Non-coding RNA from Oryctolagus cuniculus (rabbit), 3703 nucleotides. The record is from RefSeq and is a predicted model, not a curated record. NCBI's taxonomy places the organism in Eukaryota, Metazoa, Chordata, Mammalia, Lagomorpha, Leporidae.
GAAUUCCGCCGCCCCGCCCCCAGCCCCGCCUGACAACCCGGCCCGGCGCCCCAAGCAGUCCCGGGCGCCGCGCGUCCUGUCCCGCCUGCGGCCCCAGCCCCUGCGCCGCUCGUCCGGGCCGCGAUCCUCCGCGGGACAGCUCGCGUGCGCGCUUGGGUCUGGGCCGGCCUCCGAGCCGCGCGUCCCUGCUGGCUGGGCCAUGUCGAGUAGCCAGGUCGCCAGACAGCCCGCUGCGCGGGAGCUGGGGCCCUGGGGUCUGCUGAUCUCUCCUCACUCGCUCUCAUGGUCUCCAGGACACAGGAUGGGCAUGAUUGAGAACGCAGGGACCUGAGUAACUGUUCAAAGCAGUGUCCUGCGCACAGAGAGCCUCAGCGACCGUGAAGUGUUAUUGGCACAAUGUUCCUCCUGAGAUCAUGUUCCCUCUUCAUGAACAGCAUUCAUUAAAAUUCACUGGUUGUAAAUAUCCUCACUUACUUGUUAUUUAAAAGUGUUUUUAUGUUUGGCUAUUGUUUUGCAUUAAUUCACUGGGAGUGUAAUUCUAGGUCAACAAUUAUCCACUUUCAGCACUUCCUGGGUAUUAUUCCAUGGUCCCCUUGGGUUCUGCCGAUCCCUUUGAGAAGCCAGUGGCAAGUCUAGUUGUGAUUUUAUGGUAAGAAAUGUGUUUCUCUCUGGUAAGCUUAAAACUCUUUGUUUGAUUUGGCAGUCUGCCAUGUUACUCAGUUCAGGAGUAGCUGUGUUUUGAUAUAUUCUGCCUGUAAUAUGCUAUGAUUUUUUGAGGCUACAGAGCCAAAACUGCCAGCAAUUCAGGACUCUUGAAGGUUCCAUCCCAGGACUAUGGAAUGUAUUUCUAUUAGGCUGCAUUCCUCUGAUUCUUCUCAGCAUUAUUUUGUACUUUUCCAUAGCCUUCCAUGUGUCUCAAUAAACAUAAUCCAUGUGUAAGUUUUUUAUGUUUGUCAUUUUCUAACUGCUUUUUUUGUUACUAAAUGAAACUGUAAAUUAAAUUUUAUUUAUUUUUUUAAUGAUUUACUUAUUUAUUUGAAAGACAGACUUACAGAGAAAGGGAGAAACAGAGACAGACAGAUCUUCCAUCCACUGGCUCACUCCCCAAAGGGCCACAAUUGCCAGAGCUAGGCCAAGCCAAAGCCAGGAGCUACAUCCACAUGGGUGCUCCAGGGCCUGGGGCAUGGUCUGCUGCUUUCCCAGAUUCAUGGGCAGGGAGCUGCAUCAGGCGUGGAGCAGAUGGGGCACGGAUCAGCACCUGUAUAAGAUGUGGGCAUUACAGGCCGUGGCGUCACCACUGUACUAGGAUGCCAGUCCUGUAAAGUGCAUUUUAUAAACUGAACUUGGAACCAACAACCUUAUUGAACUCAUUUAUUAAUCCUAAUAAUUUAAUUAUAGAUGCCUUUGAACUUCCCUUUGCUUUUAUUUCUUUGUCUCUGUCUUCUUUCUCUCUUUUUUUGAGAGAGAAAGCUUCUGAGGGUGAUAUUGUGGCUCAGCUGGUUAAGUAAGCUGUGACGUGCAAUGCCAGAAUCCCAUAAUAGUGCUCCAGUGUGAGUCCUUGCUGCACUGCUGCUGAUCUAGCUCCUGGCUAUUGCACCUGGGAAAGCAACAGAAGAUGUAUCAGUGCUUGGGACCCUGCCACCCAUGCGGGGACACAGGAUGGAGUUCUCAGCUCCUGACUUUGGGUGAACCAACCUUUGCCAUUGUGACCAUUUGGGAAACAAAUCAGUAGAUCUCUGUCUCUCUGUCUCUGUCUCUCUCUCUCUCUCCAUCGCUACUUUUAAAAUAAAUAAAGCAAAUUUUUUUCGUACAGGCAGAGUGGACAAUGAGAGAGAGACAGAGAGAAAAAUCUUCCUUUUGCCAUUGGUUUGCCCUCUGAUGGCCGCCGCGGCUGGUGUGCUGCGGCCGGAGCACCGCACUGAGCCGAUGGCAGAAGCCAGGUGCUUCCUCCUCGUCUCCCAUGGGGUGCAGGGCCCAAGGACUUAGGCCAUCCUCCACUGCACUCCCAGGCCACAGCAGAGAACUGGCUUGGAAGAGGAGCAACCGGGACAGAAUCCGGUGCCCGGACAGGAACUAGAACCCGGUGUGCCAGUGCCACAAGGCGGAGGAUUAGCCUAUUGAGCUGUGGCACCGGCAAUAAAGCAAAUUUUUAAAGAUCCAUGUAUUUAUUUGAAAGGUAGAGUUACAGAGAGGCAGAGGCAGAGAGAGAGGUCUCCCACCUGCUGGUUCACACCCCAAAUGGCCUCAAUGGCUGGAGCUAGGCUGAUCUAAAUCUAGGAGCCAGGAACCAGGAGCUUCUUCCAGGUCUCCCAUGUGGGUGCAAGGACCCAAGCACUUGGGUCAUCUUCUACUGCUUUCCCAAGCCAUAGCAGAGAGCUGUAUUGGAAGUGGGCUAGCCGAGUCUCAAACCAAUGUCCAUAUGGGAUGCCAGCACUGUAGACGGCAGCUUUACCUGUUAUGCCACAGCACUGGCCCCCAAAUCUUUUUUUUUUAAAUGCACAACUUCUUUUCACUUGUUCACUCCCCAAAUACAAUAGCCAAAUGUGGGCCAAGUAGAAAUCAGGAUCCAGGAAGUCCAUGCUGGUCUCCCACAUGAGUGGCAAGAGCCCAAGUACUUGGGCAGCUUGCUGGUGCUUUCCCAGGUUCAUUGGCAGGAAGCUAGAUCAAAAUUAGAGCAGCUGGGCCCAGAACUGACACUCCACGUUGGGAUGCCAGUAUUGCCAGGAGUGGCUUAAGCUGUUGCACCGCAACACAGGUCCCUGUUUUGGAUUUUCUAAGUACAGAAGUAUAUGUCUACAAAAAAUAGCAAUGCAAUUUCUCCCCUUAAGAUAUGGAUGAAGACUGUAUGCCAUCAUCAAAUUUCUAGAACUCCUUCUUCCUAUGUACAAAGGGGUAUAAAUAAUACACCCUCUGCAAGUUCAAGUACCUGAACUUUAGGGCAUAAAUCACAAGAUCAGUCAAAAUAUUAUUUUUUUCAGGUUUCUGACUUUUCUUCACAAAUGUUUAGUUCAACACCUCAGAUUUUCCUCAUAAUUUCCAAAACCUCUACAAGAUUUAGAGAGUAGAUUUCAACCUGAACUGAGUUUUCUGGAAAUUCAUCAGCAUGGAUUUUCAUGCAAGUUAUACCUCUCAAAUGUAAGUGCAAAGUUGUUGUUGGUAGUACUAAUGUAUAAAAUUAUCUAUGAGUUCCUACAGCCCACACAACCCUUGAUUAUUUCUUACACACCACAUGCUCACAUAUCAGGUUGAUUGCUAAUAACAAAGGAAAAGAAAUGAGUUGAGGGAUAGUCCUUGUAAAUAAAUUGUUAUCUUACUGAAUUUGAGCCUAUAUAAUGUUUAAAAAUUCAUUUUCAUUAGUUUUGUUUUGGCAAAGCUCAAAAUGGAUUAAAAUUUCCCAGUUUGAUUCAUAUACUAGUGAAGAACUUUAGAGACUGGGAAAAAGCAAGGAAAUGAGAUUAAACUUGGAUAUGGAAUGCUUGUUUUUACAUUCUACUAUUUCACAUAUCACAGGACACAAGGUAUGUUGGAUACAGAAAGACAAAUAUUGCAUGUUCUCUAUUUGUAGGAGUUCACUUUUUAAAAAAAUUUGAAACAACAAGAAAUGCCUUUUUUUGCAAAUCUAGUUUUGUCAAACUUUGUUUUAUACCUUUGAUAAACUAAUUGUUAACAAUGUUAUACCACUAUAGUUUUAAUGAUCUGUGAA